UGAAUACGAGACGCUAAGGCGUCGAAGUAGUGUAUGUCAUACUUCCAAGAAAAGCUUGCACUGUCAUAAGUAAAAAAUGCCUGUACCAUAACCGACACAGGUGGGUAGGUAGAGUAUACUAAGGGGCGCGAGAUAACUCUCUCUAAGGAACUCGGCAAAAUAACUCCGUAACUUCGGGAGAAGGAGUACCUUAUUCUAUAAGGUUGCAAUAACAAGAUCCAAGCAACUGUUUAUCAAAAACACAGGUCUCCGCUAAGUCGUAAGACGAUGUAUGGGGGCUGACGCCAGCCCAGUGCCAGAAGGUUAAAGAAGUCGGUUAGCAUUAGCGAAGCUGGUAACUGAAGCCCUGGUGAACGGCGGCCGUAACUAUAACGGUCCUAAGGUAGCGAAAUUCCUUGUCGGGUAAGUUCCGACCCGCACGAAAGGCGUAAUGAUUUGGAUACUGUCUCGGAGAGGGGCUCGGUGAAAUAGACUUGUCUGUGAAGAUGCGGACUACCUGCACCAGGACAGAAAGACCCUAUGAAGCUUUACUGUAACUUGAAAUUGAAAUUGGACUUUAUUCGCGCAGUAUAGGUGGGAGGUGUUGAUUAUAAUCUUGCGGGAUUAUUGGAGCCAUCAGUGAGAUACCACUCUUGUAAUGUUAGAUUUCUAACUUUGAAUCAUUAUCUGGUCAAAGGACAGUUUCAGGCGGGCAGUUUGACUGGGGCGGUCGCCUCCCAAACGGUAACGGAGGCGUACAAAGGUUUCCUCUGAACGGGUAGAAAUCGUAUCUAGAGUGUAAAGGCAUAAGGAAGCUUGACUGUGAGACCUACAAGUCGAACAGGGACGAAAGUCGGUCUUAGUGAUCUGACGGUACUGAGUGGAAAGGCCGUCACUCAACGGAUAAAAGUUACUCUAGGAUAACAGGCUGAUCUCCCCCAAGAGUUCACAUCGACGGGGAGGUUUGGCACCUCGAUGUCGGCUCAUCGCAUCCUGGGGCGGUAGUACGUCCCAAGGGUUGGGCUGUUCGCCCAUGAAAGCGGUACGCGAGCUGGGUUCAGAACGUCGUGAGACAGUUCGGUCCAUAUCCGGUGUAGGCGUUAGAAUAUUGAGAGGAGCCUUCUUUAGUACGAGAGGACCGAGAAGGACAUACCUCUGGUGUACCAGUUAUCGUGCCAACGGUAAACGCCGGGUAGCUAUGUAUGGAGUGGAUAACCGCUGAAAGCAUCUAAGUGGGAAGCCCACCUCAAGAUAAGUAUUCUC
Molecule: ribosomal RNA, 1242 nt
Filed under: metagenome
Description: bacterial LSU rRNA
Rfam family: Bacterial large subunit ribosomal RNA
Source: RNAcentral